GAUGAACGCUGGCGGCGUGCCUAAUACAUGCAAGUCGAGCGACGCGCGGACGGGUGAGUAACACGUGGAUAAACUCCUUUAAGACUGGGAUAACUUCGUGAAACCGGUGCUAAUCCGGAUACUUUUCGAUGGAUCCGCGCUGCAUUAGCUAGUUGGUAAGGUAACGGCUUACCAAGGCAACGAUGCAUAGCCGACCUGAGAGGGUGAUCAGCCACACUGGAACUGAGACACGGUCCAGACGCCUACGGGAGGCAGCAGUAGGGAAUCUUCCGCAAUGGGCGAAAGCCUGACGGAGUAACGCCGCGUGAGUGAUGAAGGUCUUCGGAUCGUAAAACUCUGUUAUUAGGGAAGCGGUACCUAAUCAGAAAGCCACGGCUAACUACGUGCCAGCAGCCGCGGUAAUUC
Molecule: ribosomal RNA, 405 nt
Filed under: uncultured bacterium
Lineage: Bacteria
Description: partial 16S ribosomal RNA
Rfam family: Bacterial small subunit ribosomal RNA
Source: RNAcentral